AGUGGGGGAUAACGUAGCGAAAGUUACGCUAAUACCGCAUAUGCCCUGAGGGGGAAAGGUGGGGAUCGUAAGACCUAUCGCUUUCGGAGUGGCCGAUAUCAGAUUAGCUWGUUGGUGAGGUAAAGGCUCACCAAGGCGACGAUCUGUAGCUGGUCUGAGAGGACGACCAGCCACACUGGGACUGAGACACGGCCCAGACUCCUACGGGAGGCAGCAGUGGGGAAUUUUGGACAAUGGGGGCAACCCUGAUCCAGCCAUGCCGCGUGAGUGAAGAAGGCCUUCGGGUUGUAAAGCUCUUUCGGACGGAAAGAAACGGCUACGGCUAAUACCCGUGGCUAAUGACGGUACCGUCAGAAGAAGCACCGGCUAACUACGUGCCAGCAGCCGCGGUAAUACGUAGGGUGCGAGCGUUAAUCGGAAUUACUGGGCGUAAAGCGUGCGCAGGCGGUUUUGUAAGACAGGUGUGAAAUCCCCGGGCUUAACCUGGGAACUGCAUUUGUGACUGCAAGGCUAGAGUAUGGCAGAGGGGGGUAGAAUUCCA
RNAcentral lists this ribosomal RNA (541 nucleotides) under uncultured Gallionellaceae bacterium. RNAcentral describes it as "bacterial SSU rRNA". It matches the Rfam family "Bacterial small subunit ribosomal RNA", at positions 135 to 671 of the family's 1533-position model. The record is from RNAcentral. Lineage: Bacteria; Pseudomonadati; Pseudomonadota; Betaproteobacteria; Nitrosomonadales; Gallionellaceae.